GGGGGCUUUUGCAAGACUUCUAUCGUUUUGUGAAGCUCAGAGACAGGUAGGAGAGACAUACCUAAAUGAAAAGAGUUCAAGAUCUCAUCAAAUUAUCAGAUUGACAAUAGAAAGUUCUGCCAAGAAAUUCCUUGGGCAAAGAUAACUCAGCCA
This is a non-coding RNA of Arachis ipaensis, 153 nucleotides long. The record is from RefSeq and is a predicted model, not a curated record. NCBI's taxonomy places the organism in Eukaryota, Viridiplantae, Streptophyta, Magnoliopsida, Fabales, Fabaceae.